RNAcentral lists this transfer RNA (64 nucleotides) under Cavia porcellus (domestic guinea pig). It matches the Rfam family "tRNA", at positions 1 to 62 of the family's 71-position model. Rfam says of the family: Transfer RNA (tRNA) molecules are approximately 80 nucleotides in length. Their secondary structure includes four short double-helical elements and three loops (D, anti-codon, and T loops). Lineage: Eukaryota; Metazoa; Chordata; Mammalia; Rodentia; Caviidae. The record is from Rfam by way of RNAcentral.
GGGGAUUUAGCUCAGUGGCAUAAGCACCUGCCUGGCAAGCAUGAGGUCCUGAGUUCAAUCCCCA